RNAcentral lists this ribosomal RNA (1470 nucleotides) under metagenome. Its description in RNAcentral is "bacterial SSU rRNA". It matches the Rfam family "Bacterial small subunit ribosomal RNA". The record is from RNAcentral.
AGAGUUUGAUCCUGGCUCAGGACGAACGCUGGCGGCACGCUUAACACAUGCAAGUCGAACGAGAGAAGAGGAGCUUGCUUUUCUGAUCUAGUGGCGGACGGGUGAGUAACACGUGAGCAAUCUGCCUUUCAGAGGGGGAUACCGAUUGGAAACGAUCGUUAAUACCGCAUAACAUAAUUGAACCGCAUGAUUUGAUUAUCAAAGAUUUAUCGCUGAAAGAUGAGCUCGCGUCUGAUUAGCUAGUUGGUAAGGUAACGGCUUACCAAGGCGACGAUCAGUAGCCGGACUGAGAGGUUGAUCAGCCACAUUGGGACUGAGACACGGCCCAGACUCCUACGGGAGGCAGCAGUGGGGAAUAUUGCACAAUGGAGGAAACUCUGAUGCAGCGAUGCCGCGUGAGGGAAGAAGGUUUUAGGAUUGUAAACCUCUGUCUUCAGGGACGAAAAAAGACGGUACCUGAGGAGGAAGCUCCGGCUAACUACGUGCCAGCAGCCGCGGUAAUACGUAGGGAGCGAGCGUUGUCCGGAAUUACUGGGUGUAAAGGGAGCGUAGGCGGGAUCGCAAGUCAGAUGUGAAAACUAUGGGCUUAACCCAUAAACUGCAUUUGAAACUGUGGUUCUUGAGUGAAGUAGAGGUAAGCGGAAUUCCUAGUGUAGCGGUGAAAUGCGUAGAUAUCAGGAGGAACAUCAGUGGCGAAGGCGGCUUACUGGGCUUUAACUGACGCUGAGGCUCGAAAGCGUGGGGAGCAAACAGGAUUAGAUACCCUGGUAGUCCACGCCGUAAACGAUGAUUACUAGGUGUGGGGGGACUGACCCCUUCCGUGCCGCAGCAAACGCAAUAAGUAAUCCACCUGGGGAGUACGACCGCAAGGUUGAAACUCAAAGGAAUUGACGGGGGCCCGCACAAGCAGUGGAGUAUGUGGAUUAAUUCGAAGCAACGCGAAGAACCUUACCAGGUCUUGACAUCGUAUGCAUAGCUCAGAGAUGAGUGAAAUCUCUUCGGAGACAUAUAGACAGGUGGUGCAUGGUUGUCGUCAGCUCGUGUCGUGAGAUGUUGGGUUAAGUCCCGCAACGAGCGCAACCCUUACUGCUAGUUGCUACGCAAGAGCACUCUAGCAGGACUGCCGUUGACAAAACGGAGGAAGGUGGGGAUGACGUCAAAUCAUCAUGCCCCUUAUGACCUGGGCCUCACACGUACUACAAUGGCUGUCAACAGAGGGAAGCAAAGCCGCGAGGUGGAGCGAACCCCUAAAAGCAGUCUUAGUUCGGAUUGUAGGCUGCAACCCGCCUACAUGAAGUCGGAAUUGCUAGUAAUCGCAGAUCAGCAUGCUGCGGUGAAUACGUUCCCGGGCCUUGUACACACCGCCCGUCACGCCAUGGGAGUCGGUAACACCCGAAGCCUGUAGUCUAACCGCAAGGAGGACGCAGUCGAAGGUGGGAUUGAUGACUGGGGUGAAGUCGUAACAAGGUA